CGCCCUUAGAGUUUGAUCAUGGCUCAGAUUGAACGCUGGCGGCAGGCCUAACACAUGCAAGUCGAGCGGUAGGAGAGCUUGCUCUCCACGAGCGGCGGACGGGUGAGUAAUGUCUGGGAAACUGCCUGAUGGAGGGGGAUAACUACUGGAAACGGUAGCUAAUACCGCAUAACGUCGCAAGACCAAAGCGGUUCGUCGCGCCAUCAGAUGUGCCCAGAUGGGAUUAGCUAGUAGGUGGGGUAAUGGCUCACCUAGGCGACGAUCCCUAGCUGGUCUGAGAGGAUGACCAGCCACACUGGAACUGAGACACGGUCCAGACUCCUACGGGAGGCAGCAGUGGGGAAUAUUGCACAAUGGGCGCAAGCCUGAUGCAGCCAUGCCGCGUGUGUGAAGAAGGCCUUCGGGUUGUAAAGCACUUUCA
This 421-nucleotide ribosomal RNA is filed under the name uncultured Serratia sp. Its description in RNAcentral is "bacterial SSU rRNA". It matches the Rfam family "Bacterial small subunit ribosomal RNA", at positions 1 to 438 of the family's 1533-position model. Lineage: Bacteria; Pseudomonadati; Pseudomonadota; Gammaproteobacteria; Enterobacterales; Yersiniaceae. The record is from RNAcentral.